UCCUAUCGCUGCUGCCCUGCUGAGCACUGCAGGAAAACUGGGGAUGCGAGACAAAUUCUGAAACAACACCUACUCCUUUCCCUGGAUUAUUAAUUCUCGUCUUGUUUUCGGUGCCGCGGCCGCGCUGGCGAUUUGGGCCAUCGCCCGACGCCCGGCCCUGCCCGGGGAGAGGGUGACAGGGGGAAACCCCCGGCAGGAACCGGGGAGGGAUGCUCGGGGUCCCCUCCGCGCACGCACCGGGCCCAUCGCCCCUGAAAGCUUUUUUGUCGCUAUUAACCCUGGCCCAUCGCCUCCUCCAGGUGCGGCGGGGGUGGAGCUGACUCCGGCCCGAGGUGCUGCUUCUCCCGCGGGGUGGUGGACUUUGCUGCUGAAGUUAUGCACAUGCUGCACGGGAGAUUUGCAACUACAGGCUGAGAAGACGACCAAACACUGAAAACGGUGGUGAUUGCAUUUGAACAACCAAGAAAUCAAAUGUUCCAGCCAGAGGAAGGAUCCAGCCUGUUGGUGUUGUGACUCUGGGGCAGCCCAGGCACAGCACCUGCACCCCAGCCACCAGCCUGGGGCAGCCAGGGCGUGGGGCGGCACCGGCAUGGCCAGGGACAGGCACCGGCAAGAGAAGUCGGACACGAGGUCCCAUCUGCUUCAGCUGCCACUUCUUGUGCCCAGCACAGGACUCCACAGCACGGGCUCUGUCCUUGCACUGCUGUGAUGACCAUCAGUCGUGGUGGUGCAGCCCCUGGUGAGCCCCCGGGCCUCUCAACGACUCCGAGGUGUGUGAGGAGCAACAGUACGGCUACCAGGGAGUAAGAACCGUGUAAAAGACUUUGUCACCAUUUGAUGUAGAGGUCCUCAUUAAUUACCCUGGGAGGGGAGGUCAGGAUGCAGCCAGCUCUCUGCUGUCACCUGCAGAAUGGCACGUGGGUGCCUGUUCGUAAUGUGGAGGGGCAGAGGCUCCCGCCUCUUGUUCCCUGUUGCUACUGCAACCUCGAGGUUCUGUGGGAAAACCUAUUCUAAAAUUGCUCAUAAAUGGGUUUUCUAGCUGUUACAUUAAGCUGGAUUAGGCAGCACACAGCAUUGAUUUUUAGAUGUGAGAGUGUUGAAUAAUUUAUGUGCAUGUUGCCUCCUAAACCAGAGCCUGGCUUUGUGACAGUUCUGGCCCCUCCCAGAGCAGACACAGACGACUGUGGUAGGAUACAGCCAAACUUCCAACUCUCUUACUUUUUAGUAUCUGCUUUAAAAAGCAUUUGUAACAUCAUUUUGUUGCUGGGGUUUUAUUUUAAAGUGUCCAGGAGUGUUAUCCCACUGCAAGCACAAAGCAUGAUUUUUAGAGUUGCUGUUCCUUAAAACCUGCUUUUGCUAUCAUUCAAUUUUAAUAUGGCCAUGUAUUAUGAUAUCCAAUUGUUUGAUACAAGCAUGAGCACAUAGAAACAGCAAAAGGAAAAUUGUCUUUUUACGAACCAUGCAGCUGUUUAUCAUAAAUCUGAAUAAAACCCCUUUUCAGACCUUUUA
This is a long non-coding RNA of Corvus hawaiiensis (hawaiian crow), 1509 nucleotides long. RefSeq lists it as uncharacterized. Lineage: Eukaryota; Metazoa; Chordata; Aves; Passeriformes; Corvidae. The record is from RefSeq and is a predicted model, not a curated record. The transcript is spliced from 5 exons.